GUUUAUCUUUAAAAAAGAAGAAAAUUCACCCAAUUUAGUUACUUUAAACCUUCUAUAUGCCAUAUGCAAUUGGCAAUCGCCGGCAAUUUACAAGCCUGUGUUGAAUAAAUAUAGAAAAUCAUAAAAUGUAAAAAUAAAAGAACAAGAUUAGAGUGCUGAUUGUGAUGCCCAUAAUGUGCAUAGACACUUUCCGUCCUUAAAAACAUUGCAGGAAUAUGCAAACUCAGAGAGCGCGUAGUGAACUCGGGACAGCAGUUGGUUUAAGAUCGGACAGGCAACUAAACUGACAUCGUGACAAAGCGUAAAGUAUCACACAAAAUGAAGGCGUUCAAGCCGAGCUCAUACUUUUGAAGACCGUAACCCUUAAAAAUUGCAUUAUGCCGAUGCGCAUUAUUGCGAUUGAAUGUAACAACGUGUGAACCGCUUGCAAAUUUCCGGCGAUUGAUAAUUGCCUGCGACAUAUGUACUACCGUGCUUCCAAAAACAUAAAUAAAUGCAAAAUUAUUACAUUUUUGUUACAGGGUCUAGACUCUCUCACCGCGCUAAACCUGGAGAGAAAUGUUAUCCAAGCAGUUGGGCCUACCUUUUGUCGGCGUCAAGAAUACACUCAGCUCCCUCAGUUUGCUCAAUAAUCUCCUCACUGAAUUCCCGUCCGCUGCCAUUAACUCGCUCUCCGAGCUUAGGGUCCUGGAUAUCGGUUUCAACCUGAUAACGACGCUGCCUCGGAGGCGUUCUCCGGGAACCCGUCGCUGACCCUGCUGGCCCUGGACGGAACCCGAUCGCCACGAUCCCGGUCAACACCCUGGCCCACCUCAACGACACGCUCCGGGGUCUGAGCCUCGGCGGGCACUUCCUCCAGUGCGACUGCCGCCUCAAGUGGGUCAUCGAGUGGAUCAAGCACGGCGACCUCCAGGUCACCAGCCGUGAGCGCAAACCCCAGUUCUGCGCCGCCCCCGCCCAUCUCCGGGACAAGAGCUUCUACAACAUCAAGGCCGACGGUAAGCAAAACAGUCCCUCUAUGGCUUCAGUACAGACAUGUCCACAUAUGGAGCUCUUCCGGCCUAGAGUCCCUGUACUGAGAGUCAAGACAACGCG
This 1095-nucleotide long non-coding RNA is filed under the name Bemisia tabaci. Its description in RNAcentral is "lncRNA ENSSWEETPG009957". The record is from RNAcentral. Lineage: Eukaryota; Metazoa; Arthropoda; Insecta; Hemiptera; Aleyrodidae.